UGUGAUUCUGCAGUAGUCAUAUGCUGUCUCAAAGAUUAAGCAUGCAUGUCUAAGUAUAAGCAAUAUACAGCGAAACUGCGAAUGCUCAUAUAUAAUUAUCGUUAUUUGAUAGUACCUACUACUUGGAUAACCGUGGUAAUUCUAGAGCAAACAUGCAAAAAUCCGACUUCGAAGGAUUAUUAUAGAUUAAAAACCAAUGCCCUCCGGGCUCACUGUGAUCAUGAUAACCCUCGAAUCGCAUGCCUUGCGCCGGCGAUGGUUCAUUCAAAUUCUUCCCUAUCAACUUCGAUGUUGGUAUUGCCAAACAUGGUGCAACGGUAACGGAGGUUAGGCUCGACCCGAGAAGACCUGAGAAACGGCUACUACAUCCAAGGAAGGCAGCAGCGCGCAAAUACCCAAUCCGACACGGGAGUAUGACAAUAAUACUGAUACAGGCUCUUUGGUCUGUAAUGAAUGAGUACAAUUAAAUCCUUAACGAGAACAAUUGAGGCAAGUCUGUGCCAGCAGCCGCGUAAUCCAGCUCCAAUACGUAUAUUAAGUUGUUGGUUAAAAAGCUCGUAGUUGAACCUUGGCCUGCUGCCGUCGCCUCACGCGUACUGUCCGCCGGCUUUCCUCUGUGAACCCAUGCCUCACUGGCGUGCGGAACAGACUUUACUGUGAAAAAUAGAGUGCCAGCAGCAUGCCGAAUACAUAGCAGAAAAAGAAAGACGUGUCUAUUUGGUUCUAGACGCCGUAAUGAUAAUAGGACAUCGGCACAGAUCAAUGUCAAGUGAAAUCUGAUUAUGAGACAACUACUGCGAAAGCAUUGCCAAGAUUUUCAUUAAUCAGAACGAAAGUUAGGGAUCGAAGACGAUCAGAUACCGUCGAGUCUAACCAUAAACUAUGCCGACUAGGAUCGACGUGUAUUUUGACCCGUCGCACCUUACGAGAAAUCAAAGUGCUGGCUCCAGGGAGUAUGUCGCAAGGCUGAAACUAAAGAAAUUGACGGAAGGCACCACCAGGGUGAGCUGCGCUUAAUGACUCAACACGGGAAACUCACCAGUCCAACACAAGAGGAUGACAGAUUGAGAGCUCUUCUGAUUUGGGUGGUGCAUGCCGUCUUAUUGUGGAUGAUUGUCUGCUAAUGCGAUAACGAACGAACCUAACCUGCUAAAUAGCCCUAUGCUCUGCAUACGCUGCUCUUAGAGGACACGCUCAACCGAUGAAUUGAGCAAUAACAGUCUGAUGCCCUAGAUUCUGGCCGCACGCGCGCUACACUGACGGAGCCAGCGAGUACUUCCUUGUCCGAAAGUCCGGUAAUCUGUAAACCCGUCGUGCUGGAUAGAGCAUUGCAAUAUUGCUCUCAACGAGGAAUCCUAUAAGCGCAAGUCAUCACUUGCGUGAUUACGUCCCUGCCCUUGUACACACCGCCCUCGCUACUACCGAUGAAUGCUCAGUGAGCGUCCGGACUGGCCCAGAGUGGGCAACUACCGCUCAGGCCGAAAGCUCUCCAAACUCGUCAUUUAGAGGAAGUAAAAGUCGUAACAAGUCUCCGUGUGAACCAGCGGAGG
Molecule: ribosomal RNA, 1550 nt
Filed under: Fusarium culmorum
Lineage: Eukaryota; Fungi; Ascomycota; Sordariomycetes; Hypocreales; Nectriaceae
Description: SSU rRNA
Rfam family: Eukaryotic small subunit ribosomal RNA
Source: RNAcentral